UGGGGAAUAUUGCACAAUGGGCGCAAGCCUGAUGCAGCCAUGCCGCGUGUGUGAAGAAGGCCUUCGGGUUGUAAAGCACUUUCAGCGGGGAGGAAGGCGUUAAGGUUAAUAACCUUGGCGAUUGACGUUACCCGCAGAAGAAGCACCGGCUAACUCCGUGCCAGCAGCCGCGGUAAUACGGAGGGUGCAAGCGUUAAGCGGAAUUACUGGGCGUAAAGCGCACGCAGGCGGUCUGUCAAGUCGGAUGUGAAAUCCCCGGGCUCAACCUGGGAACUGCAUUCGAAACUGGCAGGCUAGAGUCUUGUAGAGGGGGGUAGAAUUCCAGGUGUAGCGGUGAAAUGCGUAGAGAUCUGGAGGAAUACCGGUGGCGAAGGCGGCCCCCUGGACAAAGACUGACGCUCAGGUGCGAAAGCGUGGGGAGCAAACAGG
RNAcentral lists this ribosomal RNA (429 nucleotides) under Chloroflexota bacterium. RNAcentral describes it as "Chloroflexi bacterium partial 16S ribosomal RNA". It matches the Rfam family "Bacterial small subunit ribosomal RNA", at positions 355 to 776 of the family's 1533-position model. The record is from RNAcentral. Lineage: Bacteria; Bacillati; Chloroflexota.